GGGGGGGGCGGCGGCCUACACAUGCAAGUCGAGCGGAUGACGGGAGCUUGCUCCUUGAUUCAGCGGCGGACGGGUGAGUAAUGCCUAGGAAUCUGCCUGGUAGUGGGGGACAACGUUUCGAAAGGAACGCUAAUACCGCAUACGUCCUACGGGAGAAAGCAGGGGACCUUCGGGCCUUGCGCUAUCAGAUGAGCCUAGGUCGGAUUAGCUAGUUGGUGAGGUAAUGGCUCACCAAGGCGACGAUCCGUAACUGGUCUGAGAGGAUGAUCAGUCACACUGGAACUGAGACACGGUCCAGACUCCUACGGGAGGCAGCAGUGGGGAAUAUUGGACAAUGGGCGAAAGCCUGAUCCAGCCAUGCCGCGUGUGUGAAGAAGGUCUUCGGAUUGUAAAGCACUUUAAGUUGGGAGGAAGGGCAGUAAGUUAAUACCUUGCUGUUUUGACGUUACCGACAGAAUAAGCACCGGCUAACUCUGUGCCAGCAGCCGCGGUAAUACAGAGGGUGCAAGCGUUAAUCGGAAUUACUGGGCGUAAAGCGCGCGUAGGUGGUUCGUUAAGUUGGAUGUGAAAGCCCCGGGCUCAACCUGGGAACUGCAUCCAAAACUGGCGAGCUAGAGUACGGUAGAGGGUGGUGGAAUUUCCUGUGUAGCGGUGAAAUGCGUAGAUAUAGGAAGGAACACCAGUGGCGAAGGCGACCACCUGGACUGAUACUGACACUGAGGUGCGAAAGCGUGGGGAGCACACAGGAUUAGAUACCCUGGUAGUCCACGCCGUAAACGAUGUCAACUACCCGUUGGAAUCCUUGAGAUUUUAUUGGCGCAGCUAACGCAUUAAGUUGACCGCCUGGGGAGUACGGCCGCAAGGUUAAGACUCACAUGAAUUGACGGGGCCCCGCACAAGCGUUGGAGCAUGUGGUUUAAUUUCAAAACAACGCGAAAAAACCUUACCAGGCCUUGACAUGCAGAAAAAUUUUCCGGAGAUGGAUUGGUGCCUUCG
RNAcentral lists this ribosomal RNA (996 nucleotides) under Pseudomonas putida. RNAcentral describes it as "bacterial SSU rRNA". It matches the Rfam family "Bacterial small subunit ribosomal RNA", at positions 32 to 1022 of the family's 1533-position model. The record is from RNAcentral. Lineage: Bacteria; Pseudomonadati; Pseudomonadota; Gammaproteobacteria; Pseudomonadales; Pseudomonadaceae.